RNAcentral lists this ribosomal RNA (273 nucleotides) under Triticum aestivum (bread wheat). Its description in RNAcentral is "partial small subunit ribosomal RNA". The record is from RNAcentral. Lineage: Eukaryota; Viridiplantae; Streptophyta; Magnoliopsida; Poales; Poaceae.
CUCUGGGCAGCUCAAGCGGCUAAUGUUGGUUUUUCUUGGAAAAUUGUUAAUGGUAAAAGGAUCAGAUUCUGGGAGGACCAUUGGUUUGGUAAUGCCACCUUGGCCACCCAAUAUUGGGAUCUAUAUGUCCUUGCUAAUGAGCAUAAUGCCACCAUUGAUAAAAUUUGGGACGACAGUAACCUUAAAAUUAGUUUUCGGAGAUGUUUCACUCAGGAACUUAUGUCUCUAUGGUACGAGCUUUUGGAAUUGCCAGUUCUAUUCAUCUCUCUGUAG